Molecule: ribosomal RNA, 386 nt
Filed under: Yamadazyma sp.
Lineage: Eukaryota; Fungi; Ascomycota; Pichiomycetes; Serinales; Debaryomycetaceae
Description: LSU rRNA
Rfam family: Eukaryotic large subunit ribosomal RNA
Source: RNAcentral
UGUCCGAGUUGUAAUUUGAAGAAGGUAUCUUUGGUUUUGGCUCUUGUCUAUGUUCCUUGGAACAGGACGUCACAGAGGGUGAGAAUCCCGUGCGAUGAGAUGCCCAAUUCCAUGUAAAGUUCCUUCGACGAGUCGAGUUGUUUGGGAAUGCAGCUCUAAGUGGGUGGUAAAUUCCAUCUAAAGCUAAAUAUUGGCGAGAGACCGAUAGCGAACAAGUACUGUGAAGGAAAGAUGAAAAGAACUUUGAAAAGAGAGUGAAAAAGUACGUGAAAUUGUUGAAAGGGAAGGGCUUGAGAUCAGACUUGGAAUUUUCCAGCAAUGGAGCUUUCCGGGCCAGCAUCAGUUUGGAUGGCAGGAUAAUUGCGUAGAAAAGUAGCACUACUUCC